GACGAACGCUGGCGGCGUGCUUAACACAUGCAAGUCGAGCGGUAAGGCCCUUUCGGGGGUACACGAGCGGCGAACGGGUGAGUAACACGUGGGUGACCUGCCCUUAGCUCUGGGAUAAGCCCGGGAAACUGGGUCUAAUACCGGAUAUGACUCCAUGACGCAUGUUGUGGGGUGGAAAGCCUUGUGCGGCUGAGGAUGGGCCCGCGGCCUAUCAGCUUGUUGGUGGGGUGAUGGCCUACCAAGGCGACGACGGGUAGCCGGCCUGAGAGGGCGACCGGCCACACUGGGACUGAGAUACGGCCCAGACUCCUACGGGAGGCAGCAGUGGGGAAUCUUGCGCAAUGGGCGAAAGCCUGACGCAGCGACGCCGCGUGAGGGAUGAC
Molecule: ribosomal RNA, 383 nt
Filed under: uncultured bacterium
Lineage: Bacteria
Description: bacterial SSU rRNA
Rfam family: Bacterial small subunit ribosomal RNA
Source: RNAcentral